Molecule: ribosomal RNA, 497 nt
Filed under: uncultured bacterium
Lineage: Bacteria
Description: partial 16S ribosomal RNA
Rfam family: Bacterial small subunit ribosomal RNA
Source: RNAcentral
GAUGAACGCUGGCGGCGUGCCUAAUACAUGCCAGUCGAGCGAACAGACGAGGAGCUUGCUCCUCUGACGUUAGCGGCGGACGGGUGAGUAACACGUGGAUAACCUACCUAUAAGACUGGGAUAACUUCGGGAAACCGGAGCUAAUACCGGAUAAUAUAUUGAACCGCAUGGUUCAAUAGUGAAAGACGGUUUUGCUGUCACUUAUAGAUGGAUCCGCGCCGCAUUAGCUAGUUGGUAAGGUAACGGCUUACCAAGGCGACGAUGCGUAGCCGACCUGGGAGGGUGAUCGGCCACACUGGAACUGAGACACGGUCCAGACUCCUACGGGAGGCAGCAGUAGGGAAUCUUCCGCAAUGGGCGAAAGCCUGACGGAGCAACGCCGCGUGAGUGAUGAAGGUCUUCGGAUCGUAAAACUCUGUUAUUAGGGAAGAACAAAUGUGUAAGUAACUAUGCACGUCUUGACGGUACCUAAUCAGAAAGCCACGGCUAACUACGUG